CGUAGGUGACGAGCGUUAUCCGGAAUUAUUGGGCGUAAAGCGCCCGCAGGCGGCUGUUCAAGUCUGACGUGAAAUCGCUCGGCUUAACUGGGCGGGGUCGUUGGAAACUGAAUAGCUUGAGGCAAGGAGAGGGGCGUGGAAUUCCCGGUGUAGUGGUGGAAUGCGUAGAUAUCGGGAGGAACAUCAGUGGCGCAAGCGGCGCCCUGGCCUUAGCCUGACGCUCAGGGGCGAAAGCGUGGGGAGCGAACGGGAUUAGAUACCCCGGUAGUCCACGCCGUAAACGAUGAACACUAGGUGUGGGUGGGUUCAAAACCAUCUGUGCCGCAGCCAAACGCGUUAAAGUGUUCCGCCUGGGGAGUACGGUCGCAAGGCUA
This 374-nucleotide ribosomal RNA is filed under the name uncultured organism. Its description in RNAcentral is "bacterial SSU rRNA". It matches the Rfam family "Bacterial small subunit ribosomal RNA", at positions 526 to 896 of the family's 1533-position model. The record is from RNAcentral.